RNAcentral lists this ribosomal RNA (1706 nucleotides) under Dickeya phage phiDP10.3. Its description in RNAcentral is "bacterial SSU rRNA". It matches the Rfam family "Bacterial small subunit ribosomal RNA". Lineage: Duplodnaviria; Heunggongvirae; Uroviricota; Caudoviricetes; Pantevenvirales; Ackermannviridae. The record is from RNAcentral.
AGAGUUUGAUCAUGGCUCAGAUUGAACGCUGGCGGCAGGCCUAACACAUGCAAGUCGAGCGGCAGCGGGGGGAAGCUUGCUUCCCCGCCGGCGAGCGGCGGACGGGUGAGUAAUGUCUGGGGAUCUGCCUGAUGGAGGGGGAUAACUACUGGAAACGGUAGCUAAUACCGCAUAACGUCGCAAGACCAAAGUGGGGGACCUUCGGGCCUCACGCCAUCGGAUGAACCCAGAUGGGAUUAGCUAGUAGGUGGGGUAACGGCUCACCUAGGCGACGAUCCCUAGCUGGUCUGAGAGGAUGACCAGCCACACUGGAACUGAGACACGGUCCAGACUCCUACGGGAGGCAGCAGUGGGGAAUAUUGCACAAUGGGGGAAACCCUGAUGCAGCCAUGCCGCGUGUGUGAAGAAGGCCUUCGGGUUGUAAAGCACUUUCAGCGGGGAGGAAGGCGAUAAGGUUAAUAACCCUGUCGAUUGACGUUACCCGCAGAAGAAGCACCGGCUAACUCCGUGCCAGCAGCCGCGGUAAUACGGAGGGUGCNACAAUGGGGGAAACCCUGAUGCAGCCAUGCCGCGUGUGUGAAGAAGGCCUUCGGGUUGUAAAGCACUUUCAGCGGGGAGGAAGGCGAUAGGGUUAAUAACCCUGUCGAUUGACGUUACCCGCAGAAGAAGCACCGGCUAACUCCGUGCCAGCAGCCGCGGUAAUACGGAGGGUGCAAGCGUUAAUCGGAAUGACUGGGCGUAAAGCGCACGCAGGCGGUCUGUUAAGUUGGAUGUGAAAUCCCCGGGCUUAACCUGGGAACUGCAUUCAAAACUGACAGGCUAGAGUCUCGUAGAGGGGGGUAGAAUUCCAGGUGUAGCGGUGAAAUGCGUAGAGAUCUGGAGGAAUACCGGUGGCGAAGGCGGCCCCCUGGACGAAGACUGACGCUCAGGUGCGAAAGCGUGGGGAGCAAACAGGAUUAGAUACCCUGGUAGUCCACGCUGUAAACGAUGUCGACUUGGAGGUUGUGCCCUUGAGGCGUGGCUUCCGGAGCUAACGCGUUAAGUCGACCGCCUGGGGAGUACGGCCGCAAGGUUAAAACUCAAAUGAAUUGACGGGGGCCCGCACAAGCGGUGGAGCAUGUGGUUUAAUUCGAUGCAACGCGAAGAACCUUACCUACUCUUGACAUCCAGAGAAUUUGGCAGAGAUGCCUUAGUGCCUUCGGGAGCUCUGAGACAGGUGCUGCAUGGCUGUCGUCAGCUCGUGUUGUGAAAUGUUGGGUUAAGUCCCGCAACGAGCGCAACCCUUAUCCUUUGUUGCCAGCACUUCGGGUGGGAACUCAAGGGAGACUGCCGGUGAUAAACCGGAGGAAGGUGGGGAUGACGUCAAGUCAUCAUGGCCCUUACGAGUAGGGCUACACACGUGCUACAAUGGCGCAUACAAAGAGAAGCGACCUCGCGAGAGCAAGCGGACCUCAUAAAGUGCGUCGUAGUCCGGAUUGGAGUCUGCAACUCGACUCCAUGAAGUCGGAAUCGCUAGUAAUCGUAGAUCAGAAUGCUACGGUGAAUACGUUCCCGGGCCUUGUACACACCGCCCGUCACACCAUGGGAGUGGGUUGCAAAAGAAGUAGGUAGCUUAACCUUCGGGAGGGCGCUUACCACUUUGUGAUUCAUGACUGGGGUGAAGUCGUAACAAGGUAACCGUAGGGGAACCUGCGGUUGGAUCACCU